AAGUCCCCGCCCUUUGUACACACCGCCCGUCGCUACUACCGAUUGAAUGGCUUUGUGAGGCCUCCGGAUCUGGCUAGCCUCGAGGGCAACCUCGUCGCGGGCCGGAGAAGCUGGUCAAACUUGGUCAUUUUGAGGAAGUAAAAGUCGUAACAAGGUUUCCGUAGGUGAACCUGCGGAAGGAUCAUUUAAAAACUUUCCAAAACACUGUUUUAGAUUUUUAAAACCCACCAGUUUAGUUCAAUUUAACAAAAUAUAAAACUUUCAACAACGGAUCUCUUGGUUCUCCAUCGAUGAAGAACGCAGCGAAAUGCGAUACGUAGUAUGACUUGCAGACGUGAAUCAUCGAAUCUUUGAACGCACAUUGCGCCUUGGGGCAUUCUCCAAGGCAUGCCUGUUUGAGCGUGAUUUCUUCUCACCGCCCAGGUGGUUUUGCAUCCGCUAAAUAACAUAUCCGCAGCGAAGUCUACGCUUUCACUGCACCAUGCUAUUUCCUCAAAUCAGGUAGGACUACCCGCUGAACUUUAGCAUAUCAAUAAGCGGAGGAAAAGAAACCAACAGGGAUUGCCUCAGUAACGGCGAGUGAAGCGGCAAGAGCUCACCUUUGGAAUCGCUCCGGCGAGUUGUAGUCUGGAGGCGGCCGGUCCGCCUUGCGCAACCAAAU
Molecule: ribosomal RNA, 661 nt
Filed under: Candidozyma duobushaemuli
Lineage: Eukaryota; Fungi; Ascomycota; Pichiomycetes; Serinales; Metschnikowiaceae
Description: eukaryotic LSU rRNA
Rfam family: Eukaryotic small subunit ribosomal RNA (bases 1-187)
Source: RNAcentral